AAAUUGAAGAGUUUGAUCAUGGCUCAGAUUGAACGCUGGCGGCAGGCCUAACACAUGCAAGUCGAACGGUAACAGGAAACAGCUUGCUGUUUCGCUGACGAGUGGCGGACGGGUGAGUAAUGUCUGGGAAACUGCCUGAUGGAGGGGGAUAACUACUGGAAACGGUAGCUAAUACCGCAUAACGUCGCAAGACCAAAGAGGGGGACCUUCGGGCCUCUUGCCAUCGGAUGUGCCCAGAUGGGAUUAGCUUGUUGGUGGGGUAACGGCUCACCAAGGCGACGAUCCCUAGCUGGUCUGAGAGGAUGACCAGCCACACUGGAACUGAGA
This 327-nucleotide ribosomal RNA is filed under the name Escherichia coli. RNAcentral describes it as "bacterial SSU rRNA". It matches the Rfam family "Bacterial small subunit ribosomal RNA", at positions 1 to 324 of the family's 1533-position model. Lineage: Bacteria; Pseudomonadati; Pseudomonadota; Gammaproteobacteria; Enterobacterales; Enterobacteriaceae. The record is from RNAcentral.